Molecule: ribosomal RNA, 407 nt
Filed under: uncultured bacterium
Lineage: Bacteria
Description: partial 16S ribosomal RNA
Rfam family: Bacterial small subunit ribosomal RNA
Source: RNAcentral
AUUGAACGCUGGCGGCAGGCCUAACACAUGCAAGUAGAGCGGAGCGGCGGACGGGUGAGUAAUGCCUAGGAAUCUGCCUGGUAGUGGGGGAUAAGGGCCGGAAACGGGAGCUAAUACCGCAUACUAUCAGAUGAGCCUAGGUCGGAUUCGCUAGUUGGUGGGGUAAAGGACUACCAAGGCGACGAUCCUUAACUGUACUGAGAGGAUGAGCAGUCACACUGGAACUGAGACACGGUCCAGACUCCUACGGGAGGCAGCAGUGGGGAAUAUUGGACAAUGGGCGAAAGCCUGAUCCAGCCAUGACGCGUGUUUGAAGAAGGUCUUCGGAUUGUAAAGCACUUUAAGUUGGGAGGCGUUACCAACAGAAUAAGCACCGGCUAACUUCGUGCCAGCCGCCGCGGUAAUUC